Molecule: non-coding RNA, 89 nt
Organism: Ceratobasidium sp. 392
Lineage: Eukaryota; Fungi; Basidiomycota; Agaricomycetes; Cantharellales; Ceratobasidiaceae
Source: the annotation of a GenBank genome assembly
GCCCUUAUAGCUCAGUGGUAGAGCGCAUCACUCGUACCGCCUAAGCAUACGUAAUGAUGAGGUCUGUCGUUCAAUCCGGCAUGAGGGCA